RNAcentral lists this ribosomal RNA (253 nucleotides) under uncultured bacterium. RNAcentral's name for it is "partial 16S ribosomal RNA". It matches the Rfam family "Bacterial small subunit ribosomal RNA", at positions 524 to 776 of the family's 1533-position model. The record is from RNAcentral.
CACGGGGGGUGCGAGCGUUGCUCGGAAUUAUUGGGCGUAAAGCGUACGCAGGCGGCUCGCCUAGUCGAGUGUGAAAUCCCGGGGCUCAACCCCGGACUUGCUUUCGAAACUUGCGAGCUUGAGUGCGGGAGAGGGAAGCGGAAUUCCUGGUGUAGAGGUGAAAUUCGUAGAUAUCAGGAGGAACACCGGUGGCGAAAGCGGCUUCCUGGCCCGAUACUGACGCUCAUGUACGAAAGCGUGGGGAGCAAACAGG